RNAcentral lists this ribosomal RNA (567 nucleotides) under Erythemis simplicicollis. RNAcentral's name for it is "eukaryotic LSU rRNA". It matches the Rfam family "Eukaryotic large subunit ribosomal RNA", at positions 1389 to 1888 of the family's 3401-position model. The record is from RNAcentral. Lineage: Eukaryota; Metazoa; Arthropoda; Insecta; Odonata; Libellulidae.
UCGCAGCGGUGUGCGCAGAANGGUCUGGGCUCGAGCCUGCCUGGAGCCACCGCUGGUGCAGAUCUUGGUGGUAGUAGCAAAUACUCCAGCGAGGCCCUGGAGGACUGAUGUGGAGAAGGGUUUCGUGUGAACAGCCGUUGCACACGAGUCAGUCGAUCCUAAGCCCUAGGAGAAAUCCGAUGCAAACGGCGAUGGGAAACGCACUGAACUCACACAGAGAGACAGAGACCCAUUGAUCGGGCGAAAGGGAAUCCGGUUCCUAUUCCGGAACCCGGCAGCGGAACCGUUGUUUGUCGGGCCCUGAAAGGGGUUCGUCAGGGCAACCUAAAAGGGCCCGGAGACGCCGUCGGGGGCCCCGGAAAGAGUUUUCUUUUCUGCAUGAGCGUUCGAGUUCCCUGGAAUCCUCUCGCAGGGAGAUAGGGUUUGGAACGCGAAGAGCACCGCAGUUGCGGCGGUGCACGGGAAUUCCCGACGGACCUUGAAAAUCCGGGAGAGGGCCACGUGGAGGUGUCGCGCCGGCUCGUACCCAUAUCCGCAGCAGGUCUCCAAGGUGAAGAGCCUCUAGUC